AGCACGGUAGAGCAGUGGUAGCUCAUUGGACUCAUAAUCCAAAGGUCGCUGGUUCGAGUCCAGCCUGUGCUU
This 72-nucleotide transfer RNA is filed under the name Chitinophagaceae bacterium. Its description in RNAcentral is "tRNA-Met". It matches the Rfam family "tRNA". Rfam says of the family: Transfer RNA (tRNA) molecules are approximately 80 nucleotides in length. Their secondary structure includes four short double-helical elements and three loops (D, anti-codon, and T loops). Further hydrogen bonds mediate the characteristic L-shaped molecular structure. tRNAs have two regions of fundamental functional importance: the anti-codon, which is responsible for specific mRNA codon recognition, and the 3' end, to which the tRNAs corresponding amino acid is attached (by aminoacyl-tRNA synthetases). tRNAs cope with the degeneracy of the genetic code in two manners: having more than one tRNA (with a specific anti-codon) for a particular amino acid; and 'wobble' base-pairing, i.e. permitting non-standard base-pairing at the 3rd anti-codon position. The record is from RNAcentral. Lineage: Bacteria; Pseudomonadati; Bacteroidota; Chitinophagia; Chitinophagales; Chitinophagaceae. RNAcentral also lists the same sequence under 3 other names.